Molecule: transfer RNA, 65 nt
Filed under: Phaeomonas parva
Lineage: Eukaryota; Pinguiophyceae; Pinguiochrysidales; Pinguiochrysidaceae
Rfam family: tRNA
About the family: Transfer RNA (tRNA) molecules are approximately 80 nucleotides in length. Their secondary structure includes four short double-helical elements and three loops (D, anti-codon, and T loops).
Source: RNAcentral
GGGAAUUAGCUCAGUGGUAGAGCGCCUGCUUUGCACGCAGGAGGUCGGGGAUUCGACCUCCUCAU